This 429-nucleotide ribosomal RNA is filed under the name bacterium. RNAcentral's name for it is "partial 16S ribosomal RNA". It matches the Rfam family "Bacterial small subunit ribosomal RNA", at positions 355 to 776 of the family's 1533-position model. The record is from RNAcentral.
UAGGGAAUCUUCCACAAUGGACGCAAGUCUGAUGGAGCAACGCCGCGUGAGUGAAGAAGGUUUUCGGAUCGUAAAGCUCUGUUGUUGGUGAGGAAGGAUAGAGGCAGUAACUGGUCUUUAUUUGACGGUAAUCAACCAGAAAGUCACGGCUAACUACGUGCCAGCAGCCGCGGUAAUACGUAGGUGGCAAGCGUUGUCCGGAUUUAUUGGGCGUAAAGCGAGCGCAGGCGGAAUGGUAAGUCUGAUGUGAAAGCCCACGGCUCAACCGUGGAACUGCAUCGGAAACUGUCAUUCUUGAGUGCAGAAGAGGAGAGUGGAAUUCCAGGUGUAGCGGUGGAAUGCGUAGAUAUAUGGAAGAACACCAGUGGCGAAGGCGGCGCUCUGGUCUGCAACUGACGCUGAGGCUCGAAAGCAUGGGUAGCGAACAGG